GGGGUGUGAAUGCAUUAGCAUGUCCCAACCAAAGCAGGAGGAGAAAGGAAGAAGAUAAUCGAGGGUGCUAAAAAUAGUCAGUCUUCCCUAACUCCGCUCACGCCCAGGUCCAGACGUCUCAACUCCUCGGUGCUUUCUAGUAAGAGCAAAAAGCGAGGUGCUCAGGCUGCCCGCGGCUCAGGGACCCUCCACGGUUUGUCUUUCAGGAAAGUGGCUUAGCUGGGGAGCUUGGUCCGUCUUCUGGGCAGACAGGGACUACCUACCCUGGGCUCGACGCAUGGAGGGCACGGGCUCUUAGGGCCAUGUUGCGGAGAGAGGAAAUACUGCCUCUGACGACGGGGGGGGGCUGCAUUCCCCGUGGCUGGCCCCUGGGUUUGCAUUGGGCAUCAUUUCCCCAGCUGGAUGGAGGUAGCUGGAGAGUGGGUUCCCAGGGAGACCCUGGUGCCACUGGGAGCUUGGUGCAGAGUGGGCUCCAUCGAGGUCUUCACACGGAGCCGGAGCACAGGAGGGCUGGCCUGGGACCUUGCUCCCUGAUCCUCCUGAGAAAUGGAGGCCGGUGGGAGAGCUCGGGCCUGUCUCCCCUGGGAACCACAGCUUGAAGGGCCCCUGGAGGCCUGGCCCACCGCUCACGGGGACAUAGUGGGUCUUUUAGCCCCCAGCCCACGGCUCUGUCUGUCCUCCCACGGCUGGCUCAGGACUGGGCUGUGCAUCUCAGGUGGACACUCCAGCAGCAGGUGGUUGUCCUUGUCCUCCCUCUUUCAGCAAAAACCAGUCAUGGCUGAGAAUCCCAAGGGCCUGGCAGCCCCUGGAACUCCCCCUUCUAGGGGGAUCUGCACGGAGGUCAGAUCAACCAGUGCCUCAGCUGCCCGGCACCUGAAGCCGGGGGUGGGUAGAGGCAAGUGUGAGGGGAGACAGAGGCCCCCGCUCUGGCUGGAGGGACGGAAUACUCAGUCUGCAAUCGCCAGGGAAGGCUCAUGCCACGGGCACCUAGUGUUGCCGCUGCCACCCCGUCCUUGAACAGGCAGUAGGCUGAGACCCACGGAGGGAGUGACACGGCUAGGCCACCCAGCCAGCAACGGCCAACUCCCCGGAGCAGAGAUGGGGGCCACUCUCCACUGCACCUUUGCUAACCGGCAGCCGCGGGAGCCUGGCGUCCGCGCUCCAGAGCCCUGCCUCGCUCUGCUCUGCAGUCCUCGACCUGAACGUGACUGCUCACGGGGCCUGCAUCGCACGCACCUCCCUCCAGCCCCCACCCCCGGCAACCCCUACCCCCGAGACCCCUACCCCUGGAGACCCUACCCCCAGACCCUAACCCCAGAGACCCUACCCCCAGCAGCCACGCUUGCGUUCACUGGGCCUUAUCCUUGCUGUGAGUUGCGGAGCUCCCUGAUAGGCCCCGUGAAGACAGGGAUGCGAGGAAGGCUGGGCCAAGCCCCCAUCUGGGCCUGAAAAAAGCUGGGCAGGCCUCCCUGGGGAUCCCACCAUGGUCUCAGGACCUGUCGGGGCGGGCGGGGGCGCAGCUCAGACGUCAGUGCUGAUGCUGCGGCUCCGUGAGAAGGCCUCCCGCAUGGCCGAGAGGCGGUUGGGGUUGAGCGCCUGCAGGCCCCCAAAGCUCCCGGGCGGCAGCUCCACGUCGUCCUGGCUGAUGCUCUUGUAGGCCACACGCUCCCCGCCGUUGCGCACACCCUCGUCCUCGGGCUCCUGCAGGAAGAAGGUGGGCGGCUCGUAGUGGGAGCAGCUGCGGCAGAGGGAGCGGGCCUGCGGGGACUUCUGGCUGAAGGAGGUGGAGGCAGCUGGGUAGAGAGCCGGCCCCGGCCCGUUGGUCAGGACGAGGUUGCGGUUGGCGUGCAGUGGCGGCAGGUGCGCGUGCACUGCGAAGUCGGGCUCCUCCUCGUCCUCCUCGGACUCGUCCUUCUUGCAGCAGUAGUACUGUGGGCAGAGGGCGGGUGACCUCCGGCUCCCCACCCACCUCUCCCGACCCGCACGCAGGGAAAGGGGCACAGUACGGCGAUGAUGCACAGCAGAAUCACAGUCGCCAAGAUGCCCCCGGUGAUGACCACCGUCCCAGCUGUCAUCCGCCCCCUUCUCCAUCAACAGCCUGCAACACACGCCACUAGCUUUACUGCGUCAUCGCUUCCUCCUUGCAAAAUACAAUACACAUAACAUAAAGUUUGCCAUCGGAAACAUUUCUAAGCGUCCAGCUCAGUAGCCUUAAGUACGUCCCCACUGUUGUGCAACCAAGCUCCAGGACUCUUUCAUCUUGCAAAACUGAAAACCAAUUCUUUCUCGAUAUUUAGGUUGUUUACAUUAAAAAAUAUUUUAAGUGGAUGCUUUAAUAAGUGUUUUUGCAGCUAAGUGAUCGGAGCCAGUGGAACAGGACGUACUUCAGUUACUUUUCCAGGAUAAAUUCUUAGAAGUGGGAUUUCUAGGCCUAAGGACAUGCCCUUUGUAAACUUUUUAUUAUGGAAAAUGUUCAACAAACAGAAGUCGAGAGAAUGACCAAUGCUGUCACCAGUUGCGCGCUUGUUGGCUUUUCCAUCUGUCCAGCCGGCGCUGACGAACCGGUUCUCAGAAUGAAAGCAUCCUGACUUGCAGCAUUUGCUGAUGUUUGUGGCGUCAACAGUCUCACGAUGCCCGUUUCAAGCUACCGAGGUUUACCGACGGGCUCGAAGAAUCCAUGGGCGGUGAACAGUCAGCUCUCCCAAACCAGCAGUCACGGGCUCCAGCACACCUGCCUCAAUGUCCCCCUCAUUUUAUUUUGCAGGGCAUGGUGUUGGGGGGGGGGGUUGGCGAUCAGAGUAUUUUAAAAGAAAUCCCAGAGCAUAUUAGUUAACCCAUAAACAGUUCAGUGUAAAAUCUGACAGAUGAGGACUUUAAAAAAAAAAAUCCCCAGGCUGUGUUUAGCUUUCUCCCAUCAUCCCCGAAAUGUCUUUUUACAGUUGGUUUGUUCCAAUGAGGAUCGAGUUGCGUUUGGCACUGUUGACUCUCAAACAGCUCAGUUCCCAUUCACUCUCCUCCCCGCUCCUGGCCCAUGUUGUUUAUAGACGAAACUGGGUCAUUUAUCUUACAGAAUUUUCCAUGUACGAGAGCUGGCUGGGUUUCCUCGGGCGGCACUGAACACGUUCCACCACCCCUGUUUUGUCAUCUAAACUGGAUUCCUGUUGCAUCCCUUUCAGGGGCCCAGGCUGCUGUCCCUCUUGUCGUGAUGGUG
Long non-coding RNA from Equus caballus (horse), 3211 nucleotides. NCBI's taxonomy places the organism in Eukaryota, Metazoa, Chordata, Mammalia, Perissodactyla, Equidae. The record is from Ensembl.